CCUAGUGAAUGUGGAUAGCACCGAUCUAAUAUUGAGAGAACACACGAGCAGAUUACCAGGUCGUCAGCUCCCGCGAACAAUUUAGCAGUGAAGAGGACAACGCAGAGGUGCGCCGCCACGACAUGGACAGAGCAAGAUACUGCCAGAAAAGAUCUUACUUCUUGGUGAGCUUCCAGGGAUACUAUCAUCUCUCAAAGAGGCCCUGGAGUCCAUGAAACGAGGUUCAUUCAGCUCAAGCCCAAGAUCAUCUGAGCUGUGUCUUCCUGAAACCUCAGACAUGAUUUCCCUCGGUGGUUCUGAUGUCCCCAAAAGGACUUAAAGGAUUAGUUCACUUAAAAAAAA
Molecule: non-coding RNA, 342 nt
Organism: Pimephales promelas (fathead minnow)
Lineage: Eukaryota; Metazoa; Chordata; Actinopteri; Cypriniformes; Leuciscidae
Source: RefSeq, a predicted model, not a curated record